CUUUGUACUCACCGCCCGUCAAGUCAGGGAAGUUGGGAGUGCCCGAAGGUCAUCCUUGUGAUGAACCAAGGCAAACUCAAUGACAAAGACU
This 91-nucleotide ribosomal RNA is filed under the name uncultured bacterium. RNAcentral describes it as "partial 16S ribosomal RNA". The record is from RNAcentral.